GGAGAGGUGGCAGAGUGGUCGAAUGCGCUGGUCUCGAAAACCGGUAUGGGGGCAACCCCAUCGAGGGUUCGAAUCCCUCCCUCUCCG
Molecule: transfer RNA, 87 nt
Filed under: Alphaproteobacteria bacterium GM202ARS2
Lineage: Bacteria; Pseudomonadati; Pseudomonadota; Alphaproteobacteria
Also listed under: 1 other name
Description: tRNA-Ser
Rfam family: tRNA
About the family: Transfer RNA (tRNA) molecules are approximately 80 nucleotides in length. Their secondary structure includes four short double-helical elements and three loops (D, anti-codon, and T loops).
Source: RNAcentral